GGUUUCCGUAGGUGAACCUGCGGAAGGAUCAUUACCGAGUGCGGGCCCCUCGGGGCCCAACCUCCCACCCGUGUUGCCCGAACCUAUGUUGCCUCGGCGGGCCCCGCGCCCGCCGACGGCCCCCCUGAACGCUGUCUGAAGUUGCAGUCUGAGACCUAUAACGAAAUUAGUUAAAACUUUCAACAACGGAUCUCUUGGUUCCGGCAUCGAUGAAGAACGCAGCGAAAUGCGAUAACUAAUGUGAAUUGCAGAAUUCAGUGAAUCAUCGAGUCUUUGAACGCACAUUGCGCCCUCUGGUAUUCCGGAGGGCAUGCCUGUCCGAGCGUCAUUGCUGCCCUCAAGCCCGGUUGAUGUGUUGGGCCCCGUCCCCCCCGCCGGGGGGACGGGCCCGAAAGGCAGCGGCGGCACCGCGUCCGGUCCUCGAGCGUAUGGGGCUUCGUCUCCCGCUCUAGUGGCCCGACCGGCGCCAGCCGACCCCCAACCUUUAUUAUCUAGGUUGACCUCGGAUCAGGUAGGGAUACCCGCUGAACUUAAGCAU
Molecule: ribosomal RNA, 538 nt
Filed under: fungal sp. 57505
Lineage: Eukaryota; Fungi
Description: eukaryotic LSU rRNA
Rfam family: 5.8S ribosomal RNA (bases 175-328)
Source: RNAcentral